UUUUGAAGGGUAAAAAAACGUAACAAGGUCUCCGUUGGUGAACCAGCGGAGGGAUCAUUACCGAGUUUACAACUCCCAAACCCCUGUGAACAUACCUUAAUGUUGCCUCGGCGGAUCAGCCCGCGCCCCGUAAAACGGGACGGCCCGCCAGAGGACCCAAACUCUAAUGUUUCUUAUUGUAACUUCUGAGUAAAACAAACAAAUAAAUCAAAACUUUCAACAACGGAUCUCUUGGUUCUGGCAUCGAUGAAGAACGCAGCAAAAUGCGAUAAGUAAUGUGAAUUGCAGAAUUCAGUGAAUCAUCGAAUCUUUGAACGCACAUUGCGCCCGCUGGUAUUCCGGCGGGCAUGCCUGUUCGAGCGUCAUUUCAACCCUCAAGCCCCCGGGUUUGGUGUUGGGGAUCGGCUCUGCCCUUCUGGGCGGUGCCGCCCCCGAAAUACAUUGGCGGUCUCGCUGCAGCCUCCAUUGCGUAGUAGCUAACACCUCGCAACUGGAACGCGGCGCGGCCAUGCCGUAAAACCCCAACUUCUGAAUGUUGACCUCGGAUCAGGUAGGAAUACCCGCUGAACUUAAGCAUAUCAAAACGGGAAAGAAAAGUACUAA
Molecule: ribosomal RNA, 603 nt
Filed under: Fusarium acuminatum
Lineage: Eukaryota; Fungi; Ascomycota; Sordariomycetes; Hypocreales; Nectriaceae
Description: eukaryotic LSU rRNA
Rfam family: 5.8S ribosomal RNA (bases 212-365)
Source: RNAcentral